This 210-nucleotide non-coding RNA is filed under the name Alkaliphilus metalliredigens. Its description in RNAcentral is "T-box sequence". It matches the Rfam family "T-box leader". From Rfam's summary of the family: Uncharged tRNA acts as the effector for transcription antitermination of genes in the T-box leader family. T-boxes are found upstream of many aminoacyl-tRNA synthetase genes and some amino acid biosynthetic genes usually in Gram-positive bacteria. The record is from RNAcentral. Lineage: Bacteria; Bacillati; Bacillota; Clostridia; Peptostreptococcales; Natronincolaceae.
CAAAAUGCAGUGAAAGAGAAUAGUAAACAGUCGAAGGUUUAUAGAGAGCCAAUGGUAGGUGGAAAUUGGUACUGAAGAUUGUUGAAUCCACUCCAAAGCAGACGGGGAAUAUGAACCCGCUCCGGUUAAUACCGUUAUCUACUAAGAGGUCAUGAUAUUGUGACAAAAAAAGGUGGUACCACGUGAGUUAAUAAAGCUCUCGUCCUUGGC